Molecule: ribosomal RNA, 497 nt
Filed under: uncultured bacterium
Lineage: Bacteria
Description: partial 16S ribosomal RNA
Rfam family: Bacterial small subunit ribosomal RNA
Source: RNAcentral
GAUGAACGCUGGCGGCGUGCCUAAUACAUGCAAGUCGAGCGAACAGACGAGGCUCUUGCUCCUCUGACGUUAGCGGCGGACGGGUGGGUAACACGUGGAUAACCUACCUAUAAGACUGGGAUAACUUCGGGAAACCGGAUCUAAUACCGGAUCAUAUAUUGAACCGCAUGGUUCAAUAGUGAAAGACGGUUUUGCUGUCACUUAUAGAUGGAUCCGGGCCGGAUUAGCUAGUUGGUAAGGUAACGGCUUACCAAGGCAACGAUGCGUAGCCGACCUGAGAGGGUGAUCGGCCACACUGGAACUGAGACACGGUCCAGACUCCUACGGGAGGCAGCAGUAGGGAAUAUUCCGCAAUGGGCGAAAGCCUGACGGAGCAACGCCGCGUGAGUGAUGAAGGUCUUCGGAUCGUAAAACUCUGUUAGUAGGGAAGAACAAAAGUGUAAGUAACUAUGCACGUCUUGACGGUACCUAAUCAGAAAGCCACGGCUAACUACGUG